RNAcentral lists this ribosomal RNA (475 nucleotides) under uncultured bacterium. RNAcentral's name for it is "bacterial SSU rRNA". It matches the Rfam family "Bacterial small subunit ribosomal RNA", at positions 28 to 507 of the family's 1533-position model. The record is from RNAcentral.
GACGAACGCUGGCGGCGUGCCUAACACAUGCAAGUCGAGCGGUCCAGCACUCAAGCUUGCUUGGGUGCUGGGUAGCGGCGAACGGGUGAGUAACACGUGGGUAACCUGCCUGGAAGACAGGGAUAACGAUUCGAAAGGGUCGCUAAAUACCUGAUAAUAUCCUUUCAUCGCAUGGUGAUAGGAAGAAAGGGGAAACCCGCUUUCAGAUGGGCCCGCGUCCCAUCAGCUAGUUGGUAAGGUAAAGGCUUACCAAGGCGACGACGGGUAGCCGGUCUGAGAGGAUGUACGGCCACACUGGGACUGAGAUACCGGCCCAGACUCCUACGGGAGGCAGCAGUUGGGAAUCUUAGGCAAUGGACGAAAGUCUGACCUAGCGACGCCGCGUGAGGGAAGAAGGCCUUCGGGUUGUAAACCUCUGUCAUGGGGGAAGAAGUAAGUGACGGUACCCCAAGAGGAAGCCCCUGCUAACUACGUG